RNAcentral lists this ribosomal RNA (376 nucleotides) under Pseudalsophis elegans. RNAcentral describes it as "partial 16S ribosomal RNA". It matches the Rfam family "Bacterial large subunit ribosomal RNA", at positions 1970 to 2557 of the family's 2925-position model. Lineage: Eukaryota; Metazoa; Chordata; Lepidosauria; Squamata; Dipsadidae. The record is from RNAcentral.
UGUCUAUUAAUUGUAGACUAGUAUGAAAGGCAAAAUGAGGGUUUGACUGUCUCUUAUAAUGAACCAAUCAAACUGAUCUCCCAGUAAAAAAGCUGGAAUACCACCACAAGACCAGAAGACCCUGUGAAGCUUAAACUAAACUAUUAACCCCUAUAAUAACUACUUUCGGUUGGGGCGACCUUGGAAAAAAAAAGAACUUCCAAACACCAGUGAUAAUACUCACACCAUAGGCCCACAAGCCAUUAACACUUAGACCCAGUAAAACUGAAAACUGAACCAAGUUACUCCAGGGAUAACAGCGCCAUCUUCUUCAAGAGUCCAUAUCAAAAAGAAGGUUUACGACCUCGAUGUUGGAUCAGGACAUCCUAAUGGUGCA